AAAACCCUGAGAUGCUCGUGAACCAACAUGUCCUUGAGCCGAUAAAUGUAAAUCCGGCAAUAUCUCGUUGAGUUUGGUGUGCAUGUCCGCCUGACGGAAAGCCUAAAAAACCACAGGUAUCGCCACCUUGAGCCUUUGGGUUCAAGGCCGGUUUGGUAGCGGCAUUUCGGGGUUUCU
RNAcentral lists this non-coding RNA (177 nucleotides) under Cellvibrio sp. RNAcentral's name for it is "6S RNA". It matches the Rfam family "6S / SsrS RNA". Rfam says of the family: E. coli 6S RNA was the first non coding RNA to be sequenced, but its function was unknown until recently. Lineage: Bacteria; Pseudomonadati; Pseudomonadota; Gammaproteobacteria; Cellvibrionales; Cellvibrionaceae. The record is from RNAcentral.